AUACGGAGGAUGCGAGCGUUAUCCGGAUUUAUUGGGUUUAAAGGGAGCGUAGGUGGGAUAUUAAAUCAGCUGUGAAAGUUUGGGGCUCAACCUUAAAAUUGCAGUUGAUACUGGUUUCCUUGAGUACGGUAUAGGUGGGCGGAAUUCGUGGUGUAGCGGUGAAAUGCUUAGAUAUCACGAAGAACUCCGAUCGCGAAGGCAGCUCACCGGGCCGGAACUGACACUGAUGCUCGAAAGUGCGGGUAUCAAACAGGAUUAGAUACCCUGGUAGUCCGCACAGUAAACGAUGAAUACUCGCUGUUUGCGAUACACUGUAAGCGGCCAAGCGAAAGCGUUAAGUAUUCCACCUGGGGAGUACGCCGGCAACGGUGAAACUCAAAUGAAUUGACGGGG
Molecule: ribosomal RNA, 393 nt
Filed under: uncultured bacterium
Lineage: Bacteria
Description: partial 16S ribosomal RNA
Rfam family: Bacterial small subunit ribosomal RNA
Source: RNAcentral